UCAGAAAACAUUAAUAACAAUAAAAAGGAAGAGGACGAAAAUAAAAAAAAAUAUUUGAUACAAUAGAAAGACAAAACAAUGCAGUUUGCGAAGUGUUGGCUGAACAUAGUGCUAGUUUAAAGACAAUAAUAUCAUCGUUCUGGAACACUCCUAAAUACAUAAAACAAUUUCCCAUUAAAUCGGAGGAAAGUUUAUGUAAAUGGGAGGAGGAUAUUACCGAGGAAAAUAAGAAUGAAAUGGUGAAAACUGUCACCACUAUUAUGGGGGAGAAAGGAUUAAUGAAAGGAUUGCCUUUAAUAAUAUCGCCAAAGAUUUUAUUAAUGUACAACUUAAGUGGCACUCACAACAAAAAAGGCUUAAAAUUUUUCAAAAACAUUAUGGAUGUUCUAUUUUUGUCCUACACGUCAUCAUCUAUGAACUCGAGCGAUCCUAAAUCGUUUGAAAAACAAUUAAGAUUGGCAAUAAACUAUUGAAAAAAUGUAUAUGGGGUAUGCAAAAAGAUACAACAAACAUUUUAUGAUCCCAAUAGAUAACAUAUCAUUUUAUCAUAUGGGUACAAAAGAA
Long non-coding RNA from Lucilia cuprina (Australian sheep blowfly), 564 nucleotides. RefSeq lists it as uncharacterized. The transcript is spliced from 4 exons. NCBI's taxonomy places the organism in Eukaryota, Metazoa, Arthropoda, Insecta, Diptera, Calliphoridae. The record is from RefSeq and is a predicted model, not a curated record.